CAAGCGCAGCCCGGAGCCACCGCGCCCUGCGCCCCGUGCGAGCGCGCCCGGCCCGGGCCCCGGGCUCAGCCGCCCGGGAGGCCCAAGCCGCGCGCAAACUUUUGCUCCAGUGCCCGGCGUUCCUCCUCGGCAUGUGAAGCCCCUCGGCGCCCGCGCAGUCGUCAGGUUCGCCCCGGGAGCGCGAGCCGCGGGCCGAGAUGCUCCUCCGGGAUCUGGUGCUGCGCCGAGGUUGCUGCUGGCCGUCACUGCUGCUGCACUGCGCGCUCCACCCGCUCUGGGGCUUCGUGCAGGUGACACAUGGUGAGCCCCAGAAGUCCUGCUCCAAGGUGACCGACAGCUGUCAACACGUCUGCCAGUGCCGGCCCCCGCCCCCGCUGCCACCACCACCCCCGCCCCCGCCACCUCCCAGACUCCUCUCCGCCCCAGCUCCCAACGCUACCUCGUGUCCCGCGGAGGAGAGCUGGUGGUCGGGGCUGGUGAUCGUCAUCGCGGUAUGCUGUGCCUCCCUGGUGUUUCUCACUGUGCUUGUCAUCAUUUGCUACAAAGCCAUCAAGAGGAACCAGGCCAUGUAGGCAGCUGUGUGUGCCCAGCUUUUCCCGCACCCAGGCAGACGGGCCUUUCUCUGGUUUAGCAGGAACCCCCAGGUGGCUCACAGGGGGCCGGGCUGGGUCCCCACCAGCUGCCCUAGCACUCAGGAGCCCCGCGGGGUGCACAUUAGGAAACCCCUGAGAAAAGAGGAGAACGGCACUGGCGUUGCUGAGUACCCUAUGACUUCCUCGCAGAGCAGCAAAGGGGUGGACGCGAACAGCGCUGUGGUAUGAGUCCGUAGGCCCCGGACUGCUGGCCAGAGGGACGCCUUGGUGGUGCUGGUGGAGGCGGGAAAGCAGGUGGACACGAGCUGACACUGGGCUUGUCCAGGACUUCAUCGCCUUGCAGGCUUCGAGCCUCCCAAAGGAGAAAGCCUCCUUUGCCCAGCCUCGCCCCUUGGUCAGCCCACAGUGUGGAUGCUGCAGACACCAGGCUGAGCCAGCAGGCAGCAGCCUCUGGGGUAGCACCGUCAUCCGAGGCCCCAUAUCUCUUCCUCAUCUUGUGUCUGAUCCACGGACUGUCCCCUGGCUGGUGCCUAAAGCGCACACCCCGAGAAGGCCGGGAGCCUGUCUGCUGGGGCGAAGAGGUCCCCCCGCCCCUUUCGCCUAAAGGAAACCUCCCCUCCCCACCAGGAAGCCCACCUUCUUCCCUGACCAUGCCGUUCCCGACAGAAGCCAUGGGCACAGCCACGAGACAUCCCCGUUCAAAGGUGCUCCCACCCAUCCUCCCGCCGCCCUGUCGCUGUCUCAGUCUUCAGAGCCUGCCUUCGCCCUCCCAUCUCCAUCACAGGCCCCUGGCUCCUGACUCCCCAUCACGGGGGGCUGUGUGCCCUGUCUGCAGAGUCCAGACUGAGCCGAGAAGCCCAUCACACCCCCGGGUGGGGUCUGACCGUCCAGGGCAAAAUGACGCCUUGAACCCCAGGCCUGGGGCCCUGGAAGGACAGGGGCCACUACCCCUGUCCUCAGACUCACUCCCACACCUGACCCUCAGAGGACCCGACGCUUCCCUGUGAGCCAGGCCCUGCCUUCCCCUGGCAGAGGCCACCCCCGUGCCAAACCCAUCACCGGCGCUCUGGCCUGGGCCCCCGACGCUCCCUGAGGCCUGGUACUCCCCUGAGAGCCCCCAGGCCUGCCGUCAUCCCGAGGGAGCCAGUGUGCUUCUGUGGCUGCCUUGAAUGUCCCUUGUGUUCUGAAAGUGCUGAGCCCUCCGGAGUGGUUGGUGGACGAAGGGAAGGAAAGGAGAUGGGAGGAGAGGGACCCUCCUGGCCUGGUGACUCCGUCUUCUGGCCAAGUGACCCCCACCUGCCAGCCUGUUUUGCCGGUGGCCAGUCACCCUGUGGGCACAUCACUGGGGCCCCAGAGACAGCAGCCUUGUGCUUUUGCACUCCCAGAGGGUUGCGAGAACACUUCUGGCCCUUGGUUCCCUCACCCUCCACGCACUUGCAUGGAGGAACCCAUCACAGCCAGCGGCUCCACUCUCUGGCUAUGCAGGGUCCGAGUCAGGGACCCUGUCUAUCUCCCAGAUCACAAGUGUCAGCUGUUCUCUGGAGGGCGUCUGGGCCACAAGUGAGACUUUCACAUCCAGGGGAGACUGACAGACUGAAAACCAAUCCCUGUUUGGGCUGAACCUUGAAACAUCCAUCGUCCGGCAGCCCUGGUGCCCACAGAGGUGUCUGUGUGCCGAGAGCAGGGGAGAAGGUGAAUGCGCUGUGACCUUGGCCCAGGUCCUGUUGCCAGGUCAGUGAGUGCAGGCUGAGGACAGGCCCCGGGCAGGGCCUCCAGAAAGGGUCUUCCCUUCUUUUCAGUGUUCCCCGUGUGAGGACUGGGUUUGGCUCUGGACUGGCUUUUGCUCUCCCUGUGUGCCUGCUGUGCACCUUAGCACGGGGCCAUCUGUGGCCUUCCUCCCUGCCCCCACCCAGUGGGUACUCUGGUUCGUGCCCUCCACUUGCCAAGGAUGCAGAGCUGAGUGACAAGCAGGCCAGAGGCUGUGGGCCCUCAGCAGGACAGACCCCACCCCAGUGUACUUUCCUCACUGCCUGCAGCUCCUGCUGAGUCCCCUGCCUGCUCCCUGAGCAGACACCCAGGCAGGAUCCCAGGCUGAUGCACAUACUUUUCUGGGUCCAGAAGUGAUGGGAGAGCAUCUUUGGCCAGAGGGAAGAAUCCUGGCUAAGCAGUCGUGGAGUCCUGGGCAGUCAGUCUGGGGGAACAUCGAGGGAGGCUGGGCACACCCCAACUUUUGCAAAAGCUCACUGAUCCCACCUUCCCCAACCUGGGCAUAAACCUGAGUGGCUCAGAUUUUGCAAUUAAUCCUCCAGCCCCAGCCAGGCUCCCCAUCAGGAUCCCCAGAAAACCAUCAGUCCUUCACUCUGGAGCUAGUGUCCGCUUCCCUGAGGACACACAGCCUGGGCUCCGUGCAAAGCUAACAUUUGCACAUAAAUUCCCCCAAAUUGAGUUUGUCAAAUCUCCUCUCACCCAGUCUUUUCUUCUUUACUAAGAAAAGACCCCAGUUUUUAAAAGAGAACAAACCCAGAACUGGCCAUUUGGGAGACAGCCCUCAUGGGUGCAGGGAGAGAGCCCCCAUGGAUUUUCAGCUUAAUCAACAGAAGAUCCCUAAAACCACCCAGCUAAAUUUCAGGAACGUAUCUUCAGCCCCUCAACACGGACCAAUCCUCAGGCUAGCCUGAACUUUCGAGAGUUCAGACUCUCGAAAGGAAAGGCACAUUCCUCUUCUGCAUUUUCUCAAAUAGAUAUUUUUCGACCGUCUCCUGUCAAGCCCAGCUUUAGAAUGGCAUAUAGGAUCUUCCAGAGGUUUCAGGUGUUGCUUAGAUGCUUCUAAAGCAAGUUUUGGAAGAAAGACUAAUUGCUGUAAAAAUAGACAUAUAUAUUAUAUACAGUUAUAUAUAUUUAAAGAGAUAUCUAUCUACCUAUAUAUAUAUAAUUACUGUACUCUAUGAAUCUGUACAAAGUAUGAUUUCAACAGCCCAGGUAGUGUGCGAUAUCUAAUGCAUGAAUGUAAAUACCCUCAGACCUGCCUUCCUCAUGGUUGCUAAGAGUGCACAGGAAGAAGCCUCCUGUUCCCAGUUCUGUCUCAAUGGACCAAUACACACGUUGGUGCCCUCCUGUCCACCGCCAAGCCUCUGAUGUCGACUCUGUGCUGAGAUGUUGUGCAGGAAGCAGGACAGGCAGUGUGGGGGGUGGGCUACAUGCUGCUUAUGAGGAAGAAAGCACCAUGCCUUUUUAUUUUCAAUAAAAAUAUACUUAUGAA
Molecule: RNA transcript, 3852 nt
Organism: Bubalus bubalis (water buffalo)
Lineage: Eukaryota; Metazoa; Chordata; Mammalia; Artiodactyla; Bovidae
Gene: PRIMA1
Gene name: proline rich membrane anchor 1
Exons: 6
Source: RefSeq, a predicted model, not a curated record